CCAGAAUAGCCUGCUUGACGCGACAACUCGAAUCGCCGUAAAGCAACGCUUUUGCGCCUCGCCACUUCACGACUUGUAGAGCUCUUUACGGCUCUGCGGCGGACCUGCCAGAUUGAUCGGGGGAACCUGAGUAAACUGCGUGACUUGCCCACUGGGAUUCCCGCCUCCCGCCCAGGUUCCGCCCCACCCUUCCUCUAGGGAAACCUCCUGGGCCACACCCUAGGCCACCUGUCACGCCCUACUGGGUGUGAAGAGUAGAGGAGCCCAGCGGAGGGAGAGAAGUAAAACCCUUAGACUCUGGAAAUGGGAAAACCCACUCUAAUCUGUUAACGAUUAAAUCCAAUCAUCCAAUCUUGAAUGAAAGCGGAGGACACACCUGACGCUACGCCUUUCCAAGCUGUAGUUUCUUAAGGCUGUAAAUUAAGGACCAUGUUAUUAAUAAUACAAAUCUCCUAGUGUAAUUGCGAAGAUUAUGAGAUUAUACGUGGGAAUCAACUAGCAGCGACCUACACAAACUCCUCCUCCCCCUCCCUGCGUCCUCCUCCUCCUUCUUUUUGUUCAGGUCAGAGUGCAGUGGCACGAUCUUGGCUCACUGCAACCUCUGCCUCCCAGGUUCAAGCGAUUCUCCUGCCUCAGCCUCCCGAAUAGCUGGGAUGACAGGCAUGUGCCACUGUGCCUGCUUAGGUGGAUCAUAGCCUACCUUGACUCCAGAUGGUUAUAAAAACACAAAGCCAGCCCAGCAAGUGUCCAAGGAGGCAGAAGAACAUCAGGAAAGCUGGUAACUGUGCAUUCAGGCUGGUUUAGAACAGGUCUGUUCUUCCCUCCACCCAAAGUCUGGAUGAUUACCACAGAAGACUGCAGCUCUUGGAAAUGGGAUGGCAAUGUGGGAUUACUGGAAGUUAACCUGAGAGGCGUAUGCUUUUCAUAGGAGGGCCAACUGGGGCUAGUAGAGCUCAGAUUGUACCACAAGCAGCUUUCUACCAUGAGGCUCAUCCACUCUUCUGGGCUUCCCGUGACACUACUCAGAUUUUUCCAGGAUGCCUAAAUGUUUUAUUAUAUUCACAACUUUGAGGCAAUGCAGAAACUGCAGAUGCUUAUCCACAGACUGUUGCAUCAGCAUCAUCUGGUGAUGCUGGUCUCUGGGUCUCUCCCUAGAGGUAUUUAACAAAAUGGAGAGAGUUGUUGGGAAAUUUAUAUUUUUAACAAGUGUCUCUGGGUGCUACUUUUGAUGUAUAGCCAACUUAGGGAACCAUUAGAUGAAGGCAUUAAAACAGCACUUUGCAAUAUGGUAGCCAUUAGUCACAGUGACUACUGAGCACUUGAAAUGUGGUUAUCUAAAUUGAGAUAUGCUGUAAAUGUAAAAUAUACUCUGGAUUUCAAAGGUUUAGUAUAUUUAAAAAAAGAAUGUAAACGAUCUCAAUAACACUUUUAUACUGAUUACAUGUUGAAGUGAUAUUAUUUUGGAUAUAUUAUGUAUAUUAUUAACAUUAAUUUCACUUGUUUCAUUUCAUUUGUUUUCUCAUUUCCAACUAUCAAACAAAAAACUUGCUAAUAUCUACUAAUUUAAAGUUUUCUACAAAGUUGUUUUUUCAUUGUAUGAAGACUUGAAAGAAAACUACAUAGUAUUUUUUGGAAUGUAUUGAAUUCUGUGGGAAACAUCUGGGAACAAAAAUUAUUUUAACUAUGAUUGUUUUAUAUAGUGUCUUAGAAUUUGUAUUAUUGGUUAAAGGAGAACCUCUUUUAUACACUGAAAAUGUUCAAGUGAAAAAAUUAAAUGUAAUAGCAAUAAAGUUUAUAUGAAGUUUUUAUUUACUAGUACUUGAGCAAGAUCUUUAUCCCUUCAUGAAGAACGUCCUUUUCAUGAAACUGGGUUUCAACUGUUUCCUUCAAGAACUUUAUAAAAAGUUUGCCGUGCGCUGUGGCUCAUGCCUGUAAUCCCAGCGCUUUGGGGAGCAGAGGUGUGUGGAUCACUUGAGUUCAGGAGUUCGAGAACAGCCUAGCCAAUGUUGUGAAAACUACACCAAAAAUACAAAAAUUAGCUGGGUGUGGUGGUAAGCGUCUGUAAUCCCAGCUACUCAAGAGGCUGAGGCAGGUGAAUCACUUGAACCUGGGAGGCAGAGGUUGCAGUGAGCCGAGAUCACACCACUGCUGGGUGCUAGAGCAAAAGAGUAUCUCAAAAGAAAAAAAAGAAGUGAAAAGUUUUCUUGCAAUUCAACUGUAAAUUUGUUCUGAACUAGAUACCUAAUAAAAUGCAACUCUUUUUAA
Molecule: non-coding RNA, 2265 nt
Organism: Callithrix jacchus (white-tufted-ear marmoset)
Lineage: Eukaryota; Metazoa; Chordata; Mammalia; Primates; Cebidae
Source: RefSeq, a predicted model, not a curated record